CAGUAGUUUACUACAGAAAAUGACUGAGCGGCGAACGGGUGAGUAACGCGUGAGCAACCUACCUUAGUUACUGGGAUAGCCCGAGGAAACUCGGAUUAAUACCGGAUAUUCUUAUUUAAUCACAUGAUUUUUUAAGGAAAGGUCAGCCGAACUAAGAUGGGCUCGCGUUCUAUCAGCUAGUUGGUAGGGUAAUGGCCUACCAAGGCUACGACGGAUAGCUGGUCUGAGAGGACGAUCAGCCACACUGGGACUGAGACACGGCCCAGACUCCUACGGGAGGCUGCAGCAGGGAAUAUUGCGCAAUGAGCGAAAGCUUGACGCAGCGACACCGCGUGUGGGAUGACGGAUCUAGGUUUGUAAACCACUUUCAGGAGGGAAGAAAAUGAC
This 387-nucleotide ribosomal RNA is filed under the name uncultured bacterium. RNAcentral describes it as "bacterial SSU rRNA". It matches the Rfam family "Bacterial small subunit ribosomal RNA", at positions 68 to 455 of the family's 1533-position model. The record is from RNAcentral.